UAAUGAGCGAUGUGGUUGAACUAUGCACUAUGCGAUAGAAAAUAUCAAGGUUUUAAGUGCCCGUCGGCACGAGCCGUAUCCACCGUGCCAACAAAAUACUGACACGAUAUAGACCUUGUACCGAUGGUACAGCUCAAAACUCUCUAUUCUUUAAAUUAGUAAGUAAUUUUUUCAAUAAAGUUCAAAAAAUGUGAUAAAGACUUAAUAAAUAGUUAGAAUAUUCUGUUGUUAAAUAAAAUAAAUUAAUAUUCCAUGCUAUUAUAUAUCGGCGCACAAGAUUUUUUUGGUCGGCACGCAUCGACACGACUCGGCACGUAUCGCGCGGUACCGUGCCGGCAAGUUUCCGGCACGAUUCCGUGCUACGGUAUUAAAAUCCUUGGAAAAUAUUGUCACUAAAUUUAUGGUAUAUACAAGUUGGUGUCGACAAUAAUUUAUUCUAUAAUAGUAAAUAUAUAUAGAAACUAAGGUGAAACUUUUUUAAGAAUUUAGAAACCGCUAACGUCAAAAUUGAAAGUUUGAGGGCCAAAACAAAAUAGCUGAUAGUUGGCAUCUAGUGGUGCAAUUUACCCCAGCCAAUAUAUGGAGGGAAAACUCUACCCAUACACGCCAUUACUGGGGUGUAUGAAUAGUAUUGCACUAAAUUUUUUGCUUUUUGAAAAAUAAGUUAUUUUAAGGGCUUUUUUUGCAUUUAGCCUCCUGGUAAAUUUUUAUUUUAAAAUUAGUCCUGUCAAAAUUUAAUAUGCAAAAAUGGCCCUGGGCCUGCAAUGCAGGCGCCACGUCAGCGCCACGCGGGCAGGGUCAGGGCCCGUGUGUUAAGUUUAACACGGUGAAUUAUUUACCGUGUUCAAAUAUGGUGAAUGGUUCACCGUAUUUAGUACGUAUUUUUGUUCAUUGAAAAGAGGAAUACGGAGUAGGGAUGUCAAUAGGUAUGGAUAUCCGAAAUAUUAUCCGAAUCCAAACCCGAAUAAAUUAGAGUUUUGCUAGAAUACUAUGGGUAGUAAACGGCUCGGUUUACUACCGAUUUAUUUUCGAUGAUAGAGCUUCCAAAUUGAUGAUCGGCAUCGUUAAACAUGAUUUAAACUAUUUAAAUUAUUUGGGAAUCAAAUUUCACACAUUUUCGAUAUUGUUCUCUUGUCCAUCAAGUGAACAGAAAAAUGAAUGGCCGGAAAUAAAUAUCCUUCAAAAAGUGAUGAUACAAUUUUUAUAUUUGAGAUCUAGAGUCUAGAUCUUAUUUUAAAUAAUUUAAAAAAAAUUUUAACAAAAAUUUAGUUAAUUUGAACUCUUCUAUACCGUUAAACGAGCAAACGCACCAUAUCGGCCAUUAAAAUUAUAGAUUUUGUGACCUUUUAAUCGUUCAGUUAGUGAUACCAAAAAAUCAUGAAAUUUGAUUUCUAGAUAAUUUAAAUGGUCUACAUCAUGUUCAACGGUGUCGAUCGCCGAUUUGGAAGCUUUAUUAUCAAAAACAAAUCGGUAGUAAACCGAGCAGUUUACUACCGAUAGUAGCCCAGUCAAACUCAAUAAAUUAUAUAUAUAUACAUAAUUUAUUUUUAUUUAUUUAUACAAUAUAUAAAAUAUUUAAUAAUUUUUAUUUCUUAGAUCUUCAUCCAACGGUAUAGAUUUUUAAAACCCACUAGGUUUAGGUUCGGGUUUCACGUUUUUGGUCGGAUAUGGAUAUGGAUAUGAAUUUUUAAAAUCCGUCGGGUUCAGAUCCGAGUUUGGAUUUUAAUUUGAUUUUCGGGUUCGGGUUAGGAUUUUUGAAAAUGAGAAGAAAAGGAAUACAAAUUUCCUAUUCCUCUUUUCAAUAUACAAAAAAUACGUACUAAAUAUGGUGAACCAUUCACCGUGUUUAACUUAACUACCGCCCCAGCCCCGCCUGCGUGGCGCUGAGGUGGCGCCUGCGUGGCAGGUUUAGGGUCAUUUUUACAAAUUAAAUUUUGACAGAGCUAUUUUUAAAAUAAAAAUUUGCCAGGGGGCUAAAUGCAAAAAAAAACCCUUAUUUUAAUAAAAAUAUUUAGAAUUUUAUCAAUAUUUUUUAUUCUUUUAUU
Molecule: long non-coding RNA, 2045 nt
Filed under: Ananas comosus (pineapple)
Lineage: Eukaryota; Viridiplantae; Streptophyta; Magnoliopsida; Poales; Bromeliaceae
Description: long non-coding RNA (ACOM_LNC005351)
Source: RNAcentral